Non-coding RNA from Peromyscus maniculatus bairdii (prairie deer mouse), 946 nucleotides. NCBI's taxonomy places the organism in Eukaryota, Metazoa, Chordata, Mammalia, Rodentia, Cricetidae. The record is from RefSeq and is a predicted model, not a curated record.
CGGCCCUCGCGUGCGGUUUACACAGAUGGACGUUCACUCACUGGCCACGUGCGAGCACACAGCGCAGUGACACUAAGUUUAUCUGUCGUGUUGUGCAACGUCACUGCCACCAGCCUCCGCUCGGGAGCGUCUGCGUCCUCCAACCCGGACUCUGUCCUCAGUAAACCUCGCAAACCACCCACCCCGGGCCCCAACCCCUUCUGUGGACUGUAGCCUUUCACCAUGCUUCACAGGUCUGCGCAGGCCAAGCUUAUUGAAGGCCUCCUGGGCACAUAUGGGCUCCCCCAAACAUGUUUUCCUGAAAGAAAACCUUUAUCAGGCCAGACCACUGGGGACCCAGAGAGCUUCAGAUUUACGCUGCUUCUGUGGGAGCAAUCCAGCCACAGUGGUCCCCAGCAGAAGGCAAACACCCCACUGAUUCGGCCAUGCAGCCUCGGGAACGGCGUCCCACAGCUGACAGGGUGAGAGGCAGCACCCCAGGGCAGGACCCUUGCUUCCCACCUUCUGGCACCACCCUGCACUCCACCAGCACCCAUCCCCAGCAGGGCCCAUCUGCAGAACACAAAGCCGGUCAUUUGAGGAAUCUGGCAAUGCUAAAUCUACCAAGAGGAGUUCCCUCGGCACCUUACACUGCAACCACUGUGUGGCUUGAAUCUAGACUAGCGACUAAAGAGAGAAGAGUGUCUGCUGUGAAAUAAUAGAGAGAAGGACGUUGGCCUUGAAAGGACAUUCACAGACAUCUGUCUGCACUUGGUCCUGGGACCCCGCCUGGCUUGCUGCAAUGCCCAGGAGCGGCGGGCUCCUUGGGCCUGCUUUGGGAUCUGCACUAGAGCGUCUGGCUAGUUCUUAAGGUUGAGUGAGCACUGACGGGUGAUGUUAUCACUUAGAAGGCUUCACCUGCCCCUCGGUUUGUCUUUCAGAAUAAAAAACAUCAACUUCAUCAAAU